Molecule: ribosomal RNA, 406 nt
Filed under: uncultured bacterium
Lineage: Bacteria
Description: partial 16S ribosomal RNA
Rfam family: Bacterial small subunit ribosomal RNA
Source: RNAcentral
AUUGAACGCUGGCGGCAGGCCUAACACAUGCAAGUCGAACGAGUGGCGGAAGGGUGAGUAAUGUCUGGGAAACUGACUGAUGGAGGGGGAAAACUACUGGAAACGGAAGCUAAUACCGCAUACCAUCAGAUGUGCCCAGAUGGGUUUAGCUAGUUGGUGGGGUAACGGCUCAACAAGGCGGCGCUCCCUAGCUGGUCUGAGAGGAUGACCAGCCACACGGGAACUGAGACACGGUCCAGACUCCUACGGGAGGCAGCAGUCGGGAAUAUUGCACAAUGGGCGCAAGCCUGAUGCAGCCAUGCCGCGUGUAUGAAGAAGGCCUUCGGGUUGUAAAGUACUUUCAGCGGGGAGGCGUUACCCGCCGAAGAAGCACCGGCUAACUCCGUGCCAGCAGCCGCGGUAAUAC